CCUACGGGUGGCUGCAGCAAGGAAUUUUCCGCAAUGGGCGCAAGCCUGACGGAGCAACGCCGCGUGCGGGAUGACGCUUUUCGGAGUGUAAACCGCUGUUCGUGGGGACGAAGCACUGACGGUACCCACGGAGGAAGGCCCGGCUAACUACGUGCCAGCAGCCGCGGUAAUACGUAGGGGUCGAGCGUUGUCCGGAGUUACUGGGCGUAAAGCGCGUGCAGGUGGCUCAUUACGCCCGGCGUGAAAGCCCCCGGCUCAACCGGGGAGGGUCGUCG
RNAcentral lists this ribosomal RNA (275 nucleotides) under uncultured bacterium. Its description in RNAcentral is "partial 16S ribosomal RNA". It matches the Rfam family "Bacterial small subunit ribosomal RNA", at positions 338 to 628 of the family's 1533-position model. The record is from RNAcentral.